RNAcentral lists this ribosomal RNA (468 nucleotides) under uncultured bacterium. RNAcentral's name for it is "partial 16S ribosomal RNA". It matches the Rfam family "Bacterial small subunit ribosomal RNA", at positions 28 to 507 of the family's 1533-position model. The record is from RNAcentral.
GACGAACGCUGGCGGCGUGCUUAACACAUGCAAGUCGAACGGAAAGGCCCUGCUUUUGUGGGGUGCUCGAGUGGCGAACGGGUGAGUAACACGUGAGUAACCUGCCCUUGACUUUGGGAUAACUUCAGGAAACUGGGGCUAAUACCGGAUAGGAGCUCCUGCUGCAUGGUGGGGGUUGGAAAGUUUCGGCGGUUGGGGAUGGACUCGCGGCUUAUCAGCUUGUUGGUGGGGUAGUGGCUUACCAAGGCUUUGACGGGUAGCCGGGCUGAGAGGGUGACCGGCCACAUUGGGACUGAGAUGCGGCCCAGACUCCUACGGGAGGCAGCGGUGGGGAAUAUUGCACAAUGGGCGGAAGCCUGAUGCAGCAACGCCGCGUGCGGGAUGACGGCCUUCGGGUUGUAAACCGCUUUCGCCUGUGACGAAGCGUGAGUGACGGUAAUGGGUAAAGAAGCACCGGCUAACUACGUG